UACGUAGGGGGCUAGCGUUGUCCGGAAUCAUUGGGCGUAAAGCGCGUGUAGGCGGCCCGGUAAGUCCGCUGUGAAAGUCGGGGGCUCAACCCUCGGAUGCCGGUGGAUACUGUCGGGCUCGAGUACGGAAGAGGCGAGUGGAAUUCCUGGUGUAGCGGUGAAAUGCGCAGAUAUCAGGAGGAACACCAAUUGCGAAGGCAGCUCGCUGGGACGUCACUGACGCUGAGACGCGAAAGCGUGGGGAGCGAACAGG
Molecule: ribosomal RNA, 253 nt
Filed under: uncultured bacterium
Lineage: Bacteria
Description: partial 16S ribosomal RNA
Rfam family: Bacterial small subunit ribosomal RNA
Source: RNAcentral